RNAcentral lists this ribosomal RNA (253 nucleotides) under uncultured bacterium. Its description in RNAcentral is "partial 16S ribosomal RNA". It matches the Rfam family "Bacterial small subunit ribosomal RNA", at positions 524 to 776 of the family's 1533-position model. The record is from RNAcentral.
UACGUAGGGUGCGAGCGUUGUCCGGAAUUACUGGGCGUAAAGAGCUCGUAGGUGGUUUGUCGCGUUGUUCGUGAAAUUCCCUGGCUUAACUGGGGGCGUGCGGGCGAUACGGGCAGACUGGAGUACUGCAGGGGAGACUGGAACUCCUGGUGUAGCGGUGGAAUGCGCAGAUAUCAGGAGGAACACCGGUGGCGAAGGCGGGUCUCUGGGCAGUAACUGACGCUGAGGAGCGAAAGCGUGGGGAGCGAACAGG